This 72-nucleotide transfer RNA is filed under the name Camelus bactrianus (Bactrian camel). It matches the Rfam family "tRNA". Rfam says of the family: Transfer RNA (tRNA) molecules are approximately 80 nucleotides in length. Their secondary structure includes four short double-helical elements and three loops (D, anti-codon, and T loops). RNAcentral also lists the same sequence under 2 other names. The record is from Rfam by way of RNAcentral. Lineage: Eukaryota; Metazoa; Chordata; Mammalia; Artiodactyla; Camelidae.
GAGGGUAUGGCUCAGUGGUAGAGCCUAUGCCUAGCAUGCACAAAGUCCUAGGUUCAAUCCUCAGUUCCUCCA